This 270-nucleotide long non-coding RNA is filed under the name Homo sapiens (human). RNAcentral describes it as "HSALNT0236283". Lineage: Eukaryota; Metazoa; Chordata; Mammalia; Primates; Hominidae. The record is from RNAcentral.
GCCCAGACACGGAGGCUGUUUCCUCUCCGGGGCCUCCAGGGUUCCCGACUCCUGCCGGACCUGGUGGGGAGACACGAUGGGAAGAGCUGGGGCGAAUGGAGUGAGCCGCUGUGGUGUCGCGGCGGCGCCUACCUAGUGGCUUUCUCGCUUCGCGUGGAGGCACCCACGACCCUCGGUGACAACACAGCAGCGAACAACGUGCGCUUCCGCUGUUCAGACGGCGAGGAACUGCAGGGGCCUGGGCUGAGCUGGGGAGACUUUGGAGACUGG